Molecule: long non-coding RNA, 708 nt
Filed under: Daucus carota (carrot)
Lineage: Eukaryota; Viridiplantae; Streptophyta; Magnoliopsida; Apiales; Apiaceae
Description: long non-coding RNA (DCAR_LNC006934)
Source: RNAcentral
GCAAGUAUUGGAGGUUUACCAGUCUAAAUGAAGAGAACAAGGGCUUCCAGCAAAUCAUGAAACAUGUCAGAGGGAGACUCGGAACAUUUCGCCCAGGUCAAAUCAGACAAUGCCACAACAUUUUCAUGUUUGGAACAUUCAACCUAAAGGUACAACAUUCUAUUCUAACAAUAUAUAGGCACAAAAUAAACGCACCAACACAGAAGUCUAAAUCAAGUUUAUAAAGAAAGAAAAAACCAGGCUUCUGAGCUAUAGAUCCCAUGAUCCAUUUAUUGAACUCAUGUCCUCGGACUUCAAUACAAAAACUUAAGAAACUUAACAUUAUAUAUCAUUCUGCAUCCAGCAGAUAAUUAUUUUAGCAAGCAGCAAACGAGCAACACAUAAAUCGUCCAACUGAUGCUAAUAGCCACCAGAUACUAUGCUUGUGUUCACUGAUAGGGCAUAACAGAACCAAGUAAAACCGUCAUUAGAUUUUACUAUAUUCACCCUUUCUUCUUAAAGACAAUGACCAAAGUUUAACAAUGGCAUAAUUGACAUGUUCCAUCCGCAGAUUAACCAGACAGUAGAUUUAAUGAUGGGUAACGAGCCAGCUGAAACCUUCACAAUCUUCCUCCAUGCAAAGAGUAUAUUGCAAUCUGCACGUGGUCCAACAAUAACCACAGAGGUCGCAAAACAUCAUGUCAAUUACUAUUUCAAAAUAAUAUCUUC